This is a non-coding RNA of Paramuricea clavata, 97 nucleotides long. The record is from the annotation of a GenBank genome assembly. Lineage: Eukaryota; Metazoa; Cnidaria; Anthozoa; Malacalcyonacea; Plexauridae.
CAAAGUUGAUCGUGUUUAUGACGUCGAAUAUCGACGUCAUAAACACCAAAGUUGUUUGUGUUUAUGACGUCGAAUAUCGACGUCAUAAACACCAAAG